This 287-nucleotide non-coding RNA is filed under the name Desulfotomaculum sp. RNAcentral's name for it is "T-box sequence". It matches the Rfam family "T-box leader". Rfam says of the family: Uncharged tRNA acts as the effector for transcription antitermination of genes in the T-box leader family. T-boxes are found upstream of many aminoacyl-tRNA synthetase genes and some amino acid biosynthetic genes usually in Gram-positive bacteria. Lineage: Bacteria; Bacillati; Bacillota; Clostridia; Eubacteriales; Desulfotomaculaceae. The record is from RNAcentral.
CAAAAUCCUGUGAAGGAGAAAAGUAUAGCUGGACCCAGUUUUUCAGGGAGAAGGUGCCGUGACUGGGAGCGCCUUUAGAUAUGGACAGCUGAAGUUCACUCCGGAGGAGCAGGCUGAAAAUCCUUGAUGGCGAGUAGGCUAAGCCGCAUUUCCAGCGUUAGAGGGAAGGGGUAUCGGAACGUUAUUCCCAUACCGGAUGAAGUUUCCGUACUUUUUAAGAGUGGGCUGUGUUUUUAUAUACAGCCAAUCAGGGUGGUACCGCGAAGUUCGUAGUUUUCGUCCCUGGG